Long non-coding RNA from Frieseomelitta varia, 914 nucleotides. RefSeq lists it as uncharacterized. The record is from RefSeq and is a predicted model, not a curated record. NCBI's taxonomy places the organism in Eukaryota, Metazoa, Arthropoda, Insecta, Hymenoptera, Apidae. The transcript has 2 exons.
AAAAAAAAAGAAAAAUAUCUUCGAUGUAACUACUAAGAGCAUAUGGCGGUAUCGACUUCGGUUCUCGACCUCGGGGACAGAGCGAAAGCAACUCGAUAUAUCUCACGAGAAGUCAUCAAUCAUUGUAACACUUGAAAGAAAAAAGAGUAUGAAGGAAAAGAUAAAAAUUGCAAAGUAAUUACCGAAUAGCCAUAUUCUUUUCGAUUCUCGUCUCGCGAGCCUUCUUUUCCAUGCCGCAGCCACAUUUCACGAACAUUCGUUGCAUUUUAUUCCGUUUGAGUACCAAACGGCGAGAGAGUUUCGUUUUCUCGAGAGGAGAGACGAGAAUCGAAAAGUAUUUAAAAAAUAGGAAGGAAAAGAAAAAAAAAUCAAUGCCGAUCAGUCAGUGUGAUUCUGUGUGUGCGCACGCGCGAAAUCGCAAGUAUUUUGUAUGUACAGAACCAGUGUAUCAUGUCCGGGCAGUUCUACACACGACACUCGAGGAGACGCAAGCUCUUUUUCCAUCGUCGGCGUACGGGGAAACCGAAAGCAAAUAAUUUGAGAAAAAGAAGAGGGAACUGUAAUAAUAGUAAAGAGAAAAAUGUGUUCACGCGCAUGCAAUAUUAGGUGAUGAAGAUUAAUUGUAAUUUCUCUAAUGUAAAAAAAAAGGAACGUUAUUGCCAGAAUGAAGGAAAAAAAAAGCAGGAAAAAACGAGCGUGAAAGAGUCGAAAGAAAGAGAGAGAGAGAGCGCGCGUGUGUGUGUGUGUGAAAGAGUCAAUCGAAGAAACGAACAAUAGCGGACUAACGAGAGAAUACGCGGUCCCCUCGCGAUUGAACGAGAGAGCAAUCGACGAGAAGACGCGAUUGAUUGCAUACGCGUGUCUGUGGAUGCGUGCGUGCGUGCGUGCGUAGAAAGAGAGAAUGGAAAAUAUCG